RNAcentral lists this long non-coding RNA (408 nucleotides) under Homo sapiens (human). Its description in RNAcentral is "HSALNT0350446". Lineage: Eukaryota; Metazoa; Chordata; Mammalia; Primates; Hominidae. The record is from RNAcentral.
GGGAGCCCAGGCAGAGGAGGCGCCCAGAGCGAGCGAGGGCUGUGAGGACUGCCAGCACGCUGUCACCUCUCACUCAUAUAGAUUGCCAAUCUAUUUGUGAACCAGGUUUGCUGGAGUUUGGAUUUACUACUGAGUCAUAUUUGGAGCAUGCUGGAAUCUUACAACUGAGAUUACCGAGUCAGAAACUAAUCCUUCCCACACAUACCGUACUUAUGGUGAAGGGAUUUCAGAUAUAGGAUGCUAUUCUCAGACGGUAAUUUUGGUUACUGAUUAAGUGUACAUUUCUAAAUAGUAGACAUUUUUUAAAGUAAUAAUAAAAGUGCAAACUUACCUAUUGGCUUUCAAGAAAUCAUCUGUUGCUUAAACUUCUGGUAUAAAGAUGAGCUAAAAACGAAUCACCAAACAUCA